Molecule: unclassified non-coding RNA, 236 nt
Filed under: plant metagenome
Description: partial contains small subunit ribosomal RNA, internal transcribed spacer 1, and 5.8S ribosomal RNA
Source: RNAcentral
UUUCCGUAGGUGAACCUGCGGAAGGGUCAUUACUGAGUGAGGGCCCCUCGGGGUCCAACCUCCCACCCGUGUUUAACGAACCUUGUUGCUUCGGCGGGCCCGCCUCACGGCCGCCGGGGGGCAUCUGCCCCCGGGCCCGCGCCCGCCGAAGCCACCUGUGAACGCUGUCAGAAGUAUGCAGUCUGAGACAAUUAUUAAAUUAAUUAAAACUUUCAACAACGGAUCUCUUGGUUCCG